UACGUAGGGAGCAAGCGUUGUUCGGAAUUAUUGGGCGUAAAGAGCGCGUAGGCGGUUCGGUAAGUCUGACGUGAAAUCCCGGAGCUUAACUCCGGAACUGCGUUGGAUACUGCCGAGCUUGAGUGUGGGAGAGGAGAGUGGAAUUCCCAGUGUAGAGGUGAAAUUCGUAGAUAUUGGGAGGAACACCCGUGGCGAAGGCGGCUCUCUGGACCACAACUGACGCUGAGGCGCGAAAGCUAGGGUAGCAAACGGG
RNAcentral lists this ribosomal RNA (253 nucleotides) under uncultured bacterium. Its description in RNAcentral is "partial 16S ribosomal RNA". It matches the Rfam family "Bacterial small subunit ribosomal RNA", at positions 524 to 776 of the family's 1533-position model. The record is from RNAcentral.